GGCAGUUUGUGGGGUUUACGGUGGUUAUAGUGUUCGAGUGCAGUGCUUAUAGUGCUCACAAGUACUAGGAAGCAGCGAUUGACAGAGGUACCCGGUCGGAGUGCCAGGCAGUCCGUCACAGUACACUAGAUAGCAAAGUCCCUGAAGCUACAGUCCUAUCUACACUGAUGUACUUGAACACCACACAUAUAGGCCCAUAUUUACAUAUAUAUUACGCUGACUCUAGUACUUUAACAAGACUGAGUCCUA
This is a non-coding RNA of Pelobates cultripes (western spadefoot toad), 249 nucleotides long. The record is from the annotation of a GenBank genome assembly. NCBI's taxonomy places the organism in Eukaryota, Metazoa, Chordata, Amphibia, Anura, Pelobatidae.